Long non-coding RNA from Hippocampus comes (tiger tail seahorse), 355 nucleotides. RefSeq lists it as uncharacterized. The record is from RefSeq and is a predicted model, not a curated record. Lineage: Eukaryota; Metazoa; Chordata; Actinopteri; Syngnathiformes; Syngnathidae. The transcript is spliced from 2 exons.
AUUGCCCAGGAGGAGGAGGAGGACAGCGCUCGCAGUUAACGACGACGCUCUUUGCCCACAGUUAGUCAUGCACGCUCCGGUGAGACAUCCAGAAAAGACGUGUUCUUACAGCCGCUGUGAGACCUAACAGCCAAACAUCUUGGGCCUCAGACCAGGAAAUCGAUGUCACAAUCAAGAGACGGCUACAUCUGGCUCCUAAUCGGGAUGGUGACAGGAAGGAGAGCAUGAGAAGAAAAGAGGGCAUGAGGAGCGCAACAAUUUGAUGCAUAGAAAAAUGCCGUUCAAGAGUAAGCUGCAUCCAAAUUUGGACUUUGUGUUCACUGUUAAAUAAAGAAAAGUGCAUUCUUCCAGUGAA